Molecule: long non-coding RNA, 245 nt
Filed under: Medicago truncatula (barrel medic)
Lineage: Eukaryota; Viridiplantae; Streptophyta; Magnoliopsida; Fabales; Fabaceae
Description: long non-coding RNA (MTRU_LNC007154)
Source: RNAcentral
AUAUAUUUUCCUUUUCAUAGUUUCUAUAUGUUUUUAACAGGGUAGAACUUGCUUUAUGGUUUGUGAAAUAUUUAAAUAGUAGAUAAAUUUUAAUUAACUUACCUAUUGGUGCAACAACAAAGCAAAAAAGGGCAGACAGAUGGAUACAAGAGUGUCCAUCUGCGUGCGAGAACCAAAAAGAAGAACCAGAGAAUAUAGACAUAAGAGAGACGAACCAACGACACUACAUGAGAGUUCAAAAAGGU